This 421-nucleotide ribosomal RNA is filed under the name uncultured bacterium. RNAcentral describes it as "bacterial SSU rRNA". It matches the Rfam family "Bacterial small subunit ribosomal RNA", at positions 356 to 773 of the family's 1533-position model. The record is from RNAcentral.
AGGGAAUAUUGGGCAAUGGAGGCAACUCUGACCCAGCCAUGCCGCGUGCAGGAAGACGGCCCUCUGGGUUGUAAACUGCUUUUGAAUGGGAAGAAUGUGAUGUUUGCGAGCAUUAAUGACGGUACCAUUAGAAUAAGCCACGGCUAACUACGUGCCAGCAGCCGCGGUAAUACGUAGGUGGCGAGCGUUAUCCGGAUUUAUUGGGUUUAAAGGGUGCGUAGGCGGCUUAAUAAGUCGGUGGUAAAAGGUAGCAGCUUAACUGUUUUACAUGCCAUCGAUACUGUUGAGCUUGAGUUAUUUGGAGGCAGCUAGAAUUUCCGGUGUAGCGGUGAAAUGCAUAGAUACCGGAAGGAAUACCGAUUGCGAAGGCAGGUUGCUACGAAUAUACUGACGCUGAUGCACGAAAGCGUGGGGAUCAAAC